GCUGUCGCGUUGCGCUUUCUUCGUUUUUUUCGGCUGCGCAAACUUAUAUUUUGUCGUUGUAAUAUUUUGCAUAAAUAUAUAAAUUAAAGCGCGUGACGAAGCAACAAACAAAUAGCCAAGGAAGCAACAAAGAAAAGGGCGGAACAAAUCGAAACGAAAUCGGACAAACUUUCAAGUGCAAAAAAAGUGUGCCCUAACUGUGUGUGUGUGUGCCCGUGCGUGCGUGUGUGUUUUGUGUUUGUGCGCGACCCUGCGUGUGUGUGCGUGCGUUUGUGUGCUAAAAAACAGAACGUGCAACAAGAAGCAAGAAGAAGAAGCAGCGACAGCAGCUGACAGGCCAACAAUAAAAACGAACAAAUUCCAAUAAUCGCGAGUCAAUUUGAGAGUGCUAUUAACUAAGAAGUAGAAAACAGUUUAAGAAAAGCGUUUUCGCAAUGCAUCCACGAUACAGCCCGGCCCCGCCCCUUCAGCAGCAGCAACAGAUGGGCGGUGGUCCGCCCCACCAGCAGCAGGGUGGCGGAGGAGGAGGGGGAGGAGGAGGCGGUAGCAUGAGGGGACCCUCGAACAACCAGCAAUUGCCGCCCCAAAUUCCGAGAUCCCAGACCUAUUCAAACGGGAGCUCGUCUAGCGCCGCCGCCGCACCUCCAACACCGCGCAGCGCCUUCCCCGGCGCCCCGCUAACCGCCUCAGCCGUCGCACUCAAGGGCGCCCUCCCCCAGCGGCCACCGGCCAUGACAAGUCCCGCAGCCGCUGCCGCUGGCGCCGCCCUGGCCGCCGGUGCUCCGUAUCGCGGCGCCGCCAGCUGGACCCCGCAGGGUUAUGCCCCGGCCGCUGCCGCAGCCGCCGCUGCUGUUGCCCAGCAGGCCUACCGUUACACGGCGCCGCUGCCCCAGCCGGCAUAUGCCGCCUAUACGCCGCACACGGCCACCACACCGGCCACAACCACGGUAAGUUUUCUAAACCAACCUGUGGACUAUUAUUGGUACGGUCAGCGAGUGCCGACGGCAGCCUCACCGAGCAACACCAACUCGAGCAGCUCCUCGAACACGGGCUCCCAGAGCGGCACGCUGAGCACCAGCCUGAGCAACACGACGAACACCAACACGAACAUGGGUCCCAACGGCACGGUACAGAAUCAAAACCAACAGGGCGGCGAGCAGUUGUCCAAGACAAAUCUCUACAUUCGCGGACUGCAGCAGGGCACAACCGACAAGGAUCUAGUUAAUAUGUGUGCACAAUACGGAACAAUUAUAUCAACCAAGGCUAUUUUAGAUAAAACAACAAACAAAUGUAAAGGUUACGGCUUCGUCGACUUCGAGCAGCCAGCCUUCGCCGAGUGCGCCGUAAAAGGAUUGCAGGGGAAGGGCGUGCAAGCUCAGAUGGCCAAACAACAGGAACAGGAUCCCACAAAUUUGUAUAUUGCAAAUUUGCCGCCCCACUUCAAGGAAACUGAUCUGGAGGCAAUGCUAUCGAAAUACGGACAAGUUGUUUCGACCAGAAUAUUGCGUGAUCAGCAGAUGAACUCCAAGGGCGUUGGCUUUGCCCGCAUGGAGAGUCGCGAGAAGUGCGAGCAAAUCAUUCAGAUGUUCAAUGGUAACACAAUACCGGGUGCCAAAGAUCCCCUGCUGGUUAAGUUUGCCGAUGGCGGACCCAAAAAGAAGAAUCUCUUCAAGACGCCCGAUCCGAAUGCGCGUGCGUGGCGCGACGUCUCCGCGGAGGGGAUUCCCGUGGCCUACGAUCCGACUAUGCAGCAGAAUGGCGUUAGCGUGAACGUUGGCACGCCCAUCGGAGUGCCCUACUCCCGCUUCAGUGCCCCCCAGGUGGGUGGCUAUCCAGUGGCCGGCUCCCAAUGGAUACCCGGUUAUAUGAUGACCCAGCCGAUCACUCAGGUAGAUGAUCAGUACAUGCAGAUGGCUGCAGCCCCUCAGCUGGGAGUUACCUCAUACAAACCGGAGGCGGUCAACCAGGUUCAGCCCCGCGGCAUCUCGAUGAUGGUCAGCGGCGAUACGGGCGUGCCAUAUGGAACGAUGAUGCCUCAGUUGGCCACCCUGCAGAUUGGCAACUCUAACUUUUCUCCAUCGUUACAGUAUAUUAGUCCAACUUAUCCAUAUUAUGCACCACCACCAACUAUUAUACCAACAAUGCCUAUGACAGAUUCCGAACAGGCUAGCACAGCUGCAUCACCCGACGAGGCAUACACACAGUAUCCACAUCAAGCCGCUCCCAAAUAGGUCUUCGCGAGUAUAGUUACUAAGCAGUCUAAUCACUGGUAACCCAUACUAGCUAUAAUAUAUUAGUACCCCAUUUGAGUACUAUAUAAAUUAGACGAGAGUGAGAGCAUGCCACGUGGAAGCGAAAAAGCCAAGGAGGAAGGAAAAUCAAGAGGACAAACAUUUAAAGCAGCGGAUCGGAUAAAGGAGUCAACAACAACAACCACAACCAUCACAUGAACAACAACUAGAAGAAACUACUGAAACAACAACAUCGGCAGAAGAAUCGGAAACACAGCAUGCAGUUCACGAGGAUAAAUCUAGAGAAAAGCCACUCCCCCUAAAAAAAAAACACGGGGGAAUCCCAGAAAGCUGAGGCAGAGAAAAAAAUGUAUAAAAUAAGGAGGUUGGAUGUGAGGAUGAAGUUUAGGGGAUACAUGAUUACAAUGUAAGCGAUGCGAAAAAAGAAAGGCCGGUCUCCGACGAGAGACGAGCGCAGAAGACGCGAGUAAAAAGUGAAGAAAAGCAAAGACUAAACUUAAAUAAUAGAGAAUAGUUAUACACUAAAUAAACAACCAGAGAUGCAACAGCAGAACGGCAACAAUUGUCGUUGCCAAACAACAGCGGCAAACACGAGAGAAGAGCAGUCGAAAAUAUUUACAAAAAGAGAACUGCGGGAUGCGAGGAGAAGGCAAAGUCAAAGUCGAAGGAAACUCACUUGGGGGUCGUAAGAACUUGAGGAAAUCUGCUGAGCAAAAAAGAAAACCAUCGCAGAUUAGAGUUAAGUUAAUUUUGUUAAGCGCAAGAGGAAAAACAAUUGCAUGGGGGAAACCAAAACCGAUGAUAGAGGAAGAGCGAUGUAAAAAUAGAAGAGAAAAAAUAAAAAGAAACUAUUUUGCUAAUUUUGGGCUAGCAAAAAACCUAAGCAGACAGAAAAUUUGUGAAGUAAAAGAAAGGGAAAAAACCGAAACAGAAACAAAAAUAAAUGUGUGUGCAAUGUAUGUUAAAGAACCGUAAAGAAAAACAGCAAAUAAAAACGAAACAAAACCCA
This is a non-coding RNA of Drosophila takahashii, 3261 nucleotides long. NCBI's taxonomy places the organism in Eukaryota, Metazoa, Arthropoda, Insecta, Diptera, Drosophilidae. The record is from RefSeq and is a predicted model, not a curated record.